GACGAACGCUGGCGGCGUGGAUUAGGCAUGCAAGUCGAACGGUAUAUAUCCUUUCGGGGGUAUAGAGAGUGGCGAACGGGUGAGUAACGCGUAGGUGAUCUACCUUCAGGUGGGGGACAACCCAGGGAAACUUGGGCUAAUACCGCAUGUGGCUGUAAAGCUAAAGCUGGCCUCUGUAUACAAGCUGGUGCCUGGAGCUGAGCCUGCGUCUGAUUAGCUAGUUGGUGGGGUAACGGCCUACCGAGGCGAUGAUAAGUAGGCGGCUUUAACGAGUGGUCGCCCACACUGGGAUUGAGAAACGGCCCAGACUCCUACGGGUGGCAG
This 324-nucleotide ribosomal RNA is filed under the name uncultured Spirochaetota bacterium. RNAcentral describes it as "bacterial SSU rRNA". It matches the Rfam family "Bacterial small subunit ribosomal RNA", at positions 28 to 351 of the family's 1533-position model. Lineage: Bacteria; Pseudomonadati; Spirochaetota. The record is from RNAcentral.